AGACCCGAAACCCGGUGAUCUAGCCAUGGGCAGGUUGAAGGUUGGGUAACACUAACUGGAGGACCGAACCGACUAAUGUUGAAAAAUUAGCGGAUGACCUGUGGCUGGGGGUGAAAGGCCAAUCAAACCGGGAGAUAGCUGGUUCUCCCCGAAAGCUAUUUAGGUAGCGCCUCGUGAAUUCAUCUCCGGGGGUAGAGCACUGUUUCGGCUAGGGGGCCAUCCCGGCUUACCAACCCGAUGCAAACUGCGAAUACCGGAGAAUGUUAUCACGGGAGACACACGGCGGGUGCUAACGUCCGUCGUGAAGAGGGAAACAACCCAGACCGCCAGCUAAGGUCCCAAAGUCAUGGUUAAGUGGGAAACGAUGUGGGAAGGCCCAGACAGCCAGGAUGUUGGCUUAGAAGCAGCCAUCAUUUAAAGAAAGCGUAAUAGCUCACUGGUCGAGUCGGCCUGCGCGGAAGAUGUAACGGGGCUAAACCAUGCACCGAAGCUGCGGCAGCGAACGUAUCACCCAAGACAACUUUGCGGAGUUGACGAUUGACGGAGCGAAGCGACGUCAAAGCGUUCAUUAAAGUCGAGUUGGCUUAGGGAUACGUUCGUUGGGUAGGGGAGCGUUCUGUAAGCCAGUGAAGGUGUGUCGUGAGGCAU
This 648-nucleotide ribosomal RNA is filed under the name Salmonella enterica subsp. enterica. RNAcentral describes it as "partial 23S ribosomal RNA". It matches the Rfam family "Bacterial large subunit ribosomal RNA", at positions 711 to 1271 of the family's 2925-position model. The record is from RNAcentral. Lineage: Bacteria; Pseudomonadati; Pseudomonadota; Gammaproteobacteria; Enterobacterales; Enterobacteriaceae.